GACUGUAGCUCAGUGGCAGAGCGCGUGCCUAGCAUGCACAAGGCACUGGGUUCAAUCUUCAGCACCA
This 67-nucleotide transfer RNA is filed under the name Marmota monax (woodchuck). Its description in RNAcentral is "tRNA.Ala". It matches the Rfam family "tRNA", at positions 6 to 65 of the family's 71-position model. From Rfam's summary of the family: Transfer RNA (tRNA) molecules are approximately 80 nucleotides in length. Their secondary structure includes four short double-helical elements and three loops (D, anti-codon, and T loops). Further hydrogen bonds mediate the characteristic L-shaped molecular structure. tRNAs have two regions of fundamental functional importance: the anti-codon, which is responsible for specific mRNA codon recognition, and the 3' end, to which the tRNAs corresponding amino acid is attached (by aminoacyl-tRNA synthetases). tRNAs cope with the degeneracy of the genetic code in two manners: having more than one tRNA (with a specific anti-codon) for a particular amino acid; and 'wobble' base-pairing, i.e. permitting non-standard base-pairing at the 3rd anti-codon position. The record is from RNAcentral. Lineage: Eukaryota; Metazoa; Chordata; Mammalia; Rodentia; Sciuridae.